This 72-nucleotide transfer RNA is filed under the name Stegodyphus mimosarum. It matches the Rfam family "tRNA". Rfam says of the family: Transfer RNA (tRNA) molecules are approximately 80 nucleotides in length. Their secondary structure includes four short double-helical elements and three loops (D, anti-codon, and T loops). The record is from Rfam by way of RNAcentral. Lineage: Eukaryota; Metazoa; Arthropoda; Arachnida; Araneae; Eresidae.
GCCUUCGUGCUGUAGUGGUCAGCACUCUCGACGUGUAUUCGAGAGGUCCGGGUUCGAGUCUCAGCAAAGGCA